RNAcentral lists this long non-coding RNA (322 nucleotides) under Ananas comosus (pineapple). RNAcentral describes it as "long non-coding RNA (ACOM_LNC027200)". The record is from RNAcentral. Lineage: Eukaryota; Viridiplantae; Streptophyta; Magnoliopsida; Poales; Bromeliaceae.
AUAUUUACGAAAUUGCUUUUUAUGUACAAGUUUAGAUUAUUAGCAUAAAUUGUUGGCUUAAAUGGAUUAGUAUUUUGACCUGUGGCGGAAGGCCAUGUUGGACCGAGUCAUAUUCGAAAUGGCGUGAUGCUGGGUGGGUCGAGUCAUGUUCGAAGUGGCGUGAGGCUGGUUGGGUCGAGUCACAAUCGAGACCCAUGGACGCUGCAUCUGUACUCUUUAAGUGAAUUGGUUGGGUUAUUUCUAACAGCUCGAACUUCUGGAAUUAAUAGUUAGCGCCAACGAUCCGACACAAAUAAUUUGCUUAGCGCUUGUUUGGACUAGU